Molecule: ribosomal RNA, 507 nt
Filed under: bacterium enrichment culture clone Cont1211_3132
Lineage: Bacteria
Description: bacterial SSU rRNA
Rfam family: Bacterial small subunit ribosomal RNA
Source: RNAcentral
AGAGUUUGAUCAUGGCUCAGGAUGAACGCUGGCGGCGUGCCUAAUACAUGCAAGUCGAACGAGGUGCUUUUGUAGCAAUACGGAAGUAUCCUAGUGGCGAACGGGUGAGUAACGCGUUGGUGACCUACCCCAAAGUGUGGGAUAACAGUUCGAAAGAACUGCUAAUACCGCAUGUGGUUAUUGGAUUUAGAAACCAAUAACUAAAGGAGCAAUUCGCUUUGGGAGGGACCUGCGUCCCAUCAGCUAGUUGGUGAGGUAAUGGCUCACCAAGGCUACGACGGGUAGGGGACCUGAGAGGGUGACCCCCCACAAUGGAACUGAAACACGGUCCAUACACCUACGGGUGGCAGCAGUAGGGAAUAUUGCACAAUGGGCGAAAGCCUGAUGCAGCAACGCCGCGUGUGCGAUGAAGGCCUUCGGGUCGUAAAGCACAUUUCUGAGGGAUGAGCAAGGACAGUACCUCAGGAAUAAGUCUCGGCUAACUACGUGCCAGCCGCCGCGGUAAUA